RNAcentral lists this transfer RNA (64 nucleotides) under Coxotermes boukokoensis. RNAcentral's name for it is "tRNA-Glu". It matches the Rfam family "tRNA". From Rfam's summary of the family: Transfer RNA (tRNA) molecules are approximately 80 nucleotides in length. Their secondary structure includes four short double-helical elements and three loops (D, anti-codon, and T loops). RNAcentral also lists the same sequence under 1 other name. Lineage: Eukaryota; Metazoa; Arthropoda; Insecta; Blattodea; Termitidae. The record is from RNAcentral.
AUUUAUAUAGUUUAAACAAAACAUUACACUUUCACUGUAAAAACAAAGAAAACUUUUAUAAAUA